This 60-nucleotide small RNA is filed under the name Aplanochytrium stocchinoi. RNAcentral's name for it is "partial Mitochondrion-encoded tmRNA". Lineage: Eukaryota; Bigyra; Thraustochytrida; Thraustochytriidae. The record is from RNAcentral.
UUGAUAUGUCCAAAAAUAUUGGUAUUGGCACAAAUGUAAAUACAACAGGGGAUAAUACUA